RNAcentral lists this long non-coding RNA (621 nucleotides) under Carica papaya (papaya). RNAcentral's name for it is "long non-coding RNA (CPAP_LNC014516)". The record is from RNAcentral. Lineage: Eukaryota; Viridiplantae; Streptophyta; Magnoliopsida; Brassicales; Caricaceae.
UUUGUUAUCUCUCAAUCAAUUAAACAGUCGGGGAUAUUGGGCUCUGAAGUCUGAUUCUAGCCUUUGUGUGACCCUGAUUCUAGCUCUCAUGUGGCCUCUUCCAAUGUGUGAUUCUGCCAUAGGAUCUUAAUAAAGAGAAUUUUCCGGUUGCGGAAUACUUUACUCUUUCGGUCUACAGUACUGACUAGUACUUUCUCGUAGAACAGAUCCUCUUGGAGCAAAAGGAGCUCGUGGGCCAGGACGUUAUAGGGGUCCAGGUUGUACUUGCAUAGCAUGGAUACAUGGAACGCAUUAUGGACCCUGGAUAGUUUUGGAGGCAGUGUCAGUUUGUAAGCGGUGGCGCUAAUUCUGUUUAAGAUUUCAAAUGACCCAAUGAACUGGGGAUUUAGUUUCUUUAUCUUGCCAAAUCUACUGAUUUCUUUGAAAAGGGUGACCUUAAAGAAUACCCAAUAACCUUUCUCAAAUUCUAAAUCCCUCUUUUAGGUAUUCGCAUAACUCUUCUGUCUGCUCUGAGCUGUUUGAAUGUUCUUUCUGAUCUUAACUAUUUUGGCCGUAGUAUCCUCUACAAGAUCUAGGCCGAACAAUUUUCUAUCACCCACUUCUUCCCAACAGAUCGACGAU